GUUCCCGUAGCUCAGUGGAUAGAGCAUCGGCCUCCGAAGCCGUGUGCGCAGGUUCAAUUCCUGUCGGGAACG
Molecule: transfer RNA, 72 nt
Filed under: Ktedonobacter sp.
Lineage: Bacteria; Bacillati; Chloroflexota; Ktedonobacteria; Ktedonobacterales; Ktedonobacteraceae
Also listed under: 1 other name
Description: tRNA-Arg
Rfam family: tRNA
About the family: Transfer RNA (tRNA) molecules are approximately 80 nucleotides in length. Their secondary structure includes four short double-helical elements and three loops (D, anti-codon, and T loops).
Source: RNAcentral